UACGGGGGGAGCAAGCGUUGUUCGGAAUUACUGGGCGUAAAGGGUGUCUAGGCGGCCUUGUAAGUCGGGGGUGAAAUCCACUGGCUCAACCAGUGACGUGCCUUCGAAACUGCUAGGCUUGAGUAUGGCAGAGGAGAGCGGAAUUCCAGGUGUAGCGGUGAAAUGCGUAGAGAUCGGGAGGAAGGCCGGUGGCGAAG
Molecule: ribosomal RNA, 197 nt
Filed under: uncultured prokaryote
Description: partial 16S ribosomal RNA
Rfam family: Bacterial small subunit ribosomal RNA
Source: RNAcentral